AUCUCCUAUAUGACUGAGUGGCGGACGGGUGAGUAACGCGUGGGGAACCUGCCCUAUACAGGGGGAUAACAGCUGGAAACAGCUGCUAAUACCGCAUAAGCGCACAGAAUCGCAUGAUUCAGUGUGAAAAGCCCUGGCAGUAUAGGAUGGUCCCGCGUCUUGAUUAGCUGGUUGGUGAGGUAACGGCUCACCAAGGCGACGAUCAGUAGCCGGCUUGAGAGAGUGAACGGCCACAUUGGGACUGAGACACGGCCCAAACUCCUACGGGAGGCAGCAGUGGGGAAUAUUGCACAAUGGGGGAAACCCUGAUGCAGCGACGCCGCGUGAGUGAAGAAGUAUUUCGGUAUGUAAAGCUCUAUCAGCAGGGAAGAAAACAGACGGUACCUGACUAAGAAGCCCCGGCUAACUACGUGCCAGCAGCCGCGGUAAUACGUAGGGGGCAAGCGUUAUCCGGAAUUACUGGGUGUAAAGGGUGCGUAGGUGGCAUGGUAAGUCAGAAGUGAAAGCCCGGGGCUUAACCCCGGGACUGCUUUUGAAACUGUCAUGCUGGAGUGCAGGAGAGGUAAGCGGAAUUCCUAGUGUAGCGGUGAAAUGCGUAGAUAUUAGGAGGAACACCAGUGGCGAAGGCGGCUUACUGGACUGUCACUGA
RNAcentral lists this ribosomal RNA (649 nucleotides) under uncultured Lachnospiraceae bacterium. RNAcentral describes it as "bacterial SSU rRNA". It matches the Rfam family "Bacterial small subunit ribosomal RNA", at positions 78 to 743 of the family's 1533-position model. The record is from RNAcentral. Lineage: Bacteria; Bacillati; Bacillota; Clostridia; Lachnospirales; Lachnospiraceae.